GGCUGAUGCGAGUGCAGUGGUGUUUACAAUGAAUUGAUCACAACCAGUUACAGAUUUCUUUGUUCCUUCUCUGCUCUCACUGCUUCACUUGACCAGCCUUUA
This 102-nucleotide Y RNA is filed under the name Saimiri boliviensis boliviensis (Bolivian squirrel monkey). Its description in RNAcentral is "Y RNA (ENSSBOG00000007137.1)". It matches the Rfam family "Y RNA". From Rfam's summary of the family: Y RNAs are components of the Ro ribonucleoprotein particle (Ro RNP), in association with Ro60 and La proteins. The record is from Rfam by way of RNAcentral. Lineage: Eukaryota; Metazoa; Chordata; Mammalia; Primates; Cebidae.